Molecule: ribosomal RNA, 486 nt
Filed under: Klebsiella pneumoniae
Lineage: Bacteria; Pseudomonadati; Pseudomonadota; Gammaproteobacteria; Enterobacterales; Enterobacteriaceae
Description: partial 23S ribosomal RNA
Rfam family: Bacterial large subunit ribosomal RNA
Source: RNAcentral
UAAAAGGUACUCCGGGGAUAACAGGCUGAUACCGCCCAAGAGUUCAUAUCGACGGCGGUGUUUGGCACCUCGAUGUCGGCUCAUCACAUCCUGGGGCUGAAGUAGGUCCCAAGGGUAUGGCUGUUCGCCAUUUAAAGUGGUACGCGAGCUGGGUUUAGAACGUCGUGAGACAGUUCGGUCCCUAUCUGCCGUGGGCGCUGGAGAAUUGAGGGGGGCUGCUCCUAGUACGAGAGGACCGGAGUGGACGCAUCACUGGUGUUCGGGUUGUCAUGCCAAUGGCACUGCCCGGUAGCUAAAUGCGGAAGAGAUAAGUGCUGAAAGCAUCUAAGCACGAAACUUGCCCCGAGAUGAGUUCUCCCUGAGACUUUAAGUCUCCUGAAGGAACGUUGAAGACGACGACGUUGAUAGGCCGGGUGUGUAAGCGCAGCGAUGCGUUGAGCUAACCGGUACUAAUGAACCGUGAGGCUUAACCUUACAACGCCGAAG